AAGAUGAGUUGAGUUGAGCGAACU
RNAcentral lists this non-coding RNA (24 nucleotides) under Arabidopsis thaliana (thale cress). Lineage: Eukaryota; Viridiplantae; Streptophyta; Magnoliopsida; Brassicales; Brassicaceae. The record is from RNAcentral.